GUGUCGCCCGUCGGGAAGGCUCGGGUUAAGGCGCUUGGAGCGAGGGGAGCCUGUGCGCGGGUGGGUCUGGGGCUUUUUUUUUUAAUUUUUGAGGAGUCUCUGGUCGGGGGGGGGUCUCAGGCGGGGUGCAGGCAGCCCCCCCCGCGCGCCUCGGCCUCGGGACUUACCGCAGCGGGGCCGCGCGUGGGCGAAACCGGGGGGGAGGCGCCGGCUCCCGGGAGAUUUACCGGGGCGAACGCCGCCCGAACCCCCCCCCCGGGGGGGUCCCUCCCGGUCCCGUUUGAAAGCCGGGGCUGUCGGCCUCGAAGCGGGGGCGGCGGGCGCGGGGGGGGGUCGCCGCGGUCCCCGCCGAGGAAUCGCUGCCUUCCCCGCCGGACGGCCGGACGUCCCCCCCCUCCCCCGUUUUUAAACGGGGAUCGUACCACGGCGGAAGCCCCGACCUGCCUCUGCACACUGCUCACACCACCACACAGUGUAGAAAAGCCAAAAAAUAACCAAAACCAAACAAACAAAAAACAAAAACAAAAACCUCACUCGGAGAAAACACGCAGCAUCCAGAGCCAAGCAGCACCCAGAGCUCAGUGCAGCAAGGACACGGCCCCGCGGCCCAAGGACUAUCUGCAGCACAGAGAAAGAGGCGCCGCGUGCCCCAGCAGACACUCCUCUUACUUAAACCAAGGCACACCGAGCCCGAGAAGGGUCGCAGUGUAUGUUUGAUGGGCCGCCAUCUUUCACAACUGUGCUAACUCACUCUUGACGCGUCCAAUGGGCUGGCACCGGCCUCGGAGCAGGCGAAGGGAAGAGAAGAGCGACCUGAGCGCGUCCCGGCCGCGGCUGGCGGCUCCUCGCACCGAGUCCCGCUGGGGCUUUGCUGCCUGUACCGGUCUCGCCCCCCCCCUCUCCCCUUUGUCGGGGCGGGGGGGGUGGAUGUCUUGCCACUUUGUUUUAAUUUC
Molecule: long non-coding RNA, 953 nt
Filed under: Anser cygnoides (Swan goose)
Lineage: Eukaryota; Metazoa; Chordata; Aves; Anseriformes; Anatidae
Description: lncRNA (ENSACDG00005013237.1)
Source: RNAcentral